This is a non-coding RNA of Strongylocentrotus purpuratus (purple sea urchin), 72 nucleotides long. The record is from Rfam. Lineage: Eukaryota; Metazoa; Echinodermata; Echinoidea; Camarodonta; Strongylocentrotidae.
ACUUUGAUAGCUCAGUCGGUAGAGCAGUGGUCUCAUAAUCCGGUGACCCGGGUUCGAAACCAAGUCGAUGCG